AGGAAGCAUCUUCACCCGGAAGUGGUGAUGAACAAGCUUCAUUUCCACCACCGCCAACACAACCACCUCCAAACCUUGAAGGUUUUAUGAGAUUUGUUAGAAACAAUACGUAAAUUAUGAUGUAACUUGUAUAUUAGCAUGUCUUGUUUUAGUUUUUUUUCUUUUAAUAGUGGUAUUAGUACCAUAUUGUGCUCAUUCCAUUGGGGGAAGGAAGACUAAGAAA
Molecule: long non-coding RNA, 223 nt
Filed under: Nicotiana benthamiana
Lineage: Eukaryota; Viridiplantae; Streptophyta; Magnoliopsida; Solanales; Solanaceae
Description: long non-coding RNA (NBEN_LNC012059)
Source: RNAcentral